UAUAUAAGUAUUUUAUAAAUAUUUCACACUUGGAUAUUUUUGCGUUGUUUAAAUACUAUUCAUUUACGUAAACCUAAUCAAACGAUAAUGUGGAAAGCUGUGAUUUUGAUACUUUGUGUAAUUUAUUGCACACAUGGUGCACCUGGAUGUCCAGUUUGUUACCGAGGUCGGAGAGAAUCAGGUUGUCCCGUGUGUAUCUGGAUCUGGCACAAUUGUGACAUCGAUGUGGACUGUACAGGAGGUCGACUUUGUUGUUUAAAUCCAAAUUGUGGUAGAUCGUGUCAAAUACCAGGUUAAUGGACGCAGAUGAUCAAAAAGAUAUUUCCGAAUCUAGUGUAAUUUUCAUUUCCAAUGUGGUGAAAACAAACUUUUAAGGGCGGGAAAAUUUAUUAUUUACCACUAAUUUUGUAUUUGAACUUGACGAUAUAAAUCUUGAAUAAAAGUGUAAACAAAAAGCGGGGCAACAUUUUAACUAAGUUACAUGUUUUCCAUAUUAAUGGAACGCGCAACAAUUAAAAAAGGGAGACAGGAUGAAAUAAAUACUAGUAUAUAAAAGUU
This is a long non-coding RNA of Mytilus californianus (California mussel), 558 nucleotides long. RefSeq lists it as uncharacterized. The transcript is spliced from 4 exons. NCBI's taxonomy places the organism in Eukaryota, Metazoa, Mollusca, Bivalvia, Mytilida, Mytilidae. The record is from RefSeq and is a predicted model, not a curated record.